Long non-coding RNA from Mobula hypostoma (lesser devil ray), 6675 nucleotides. RefSeq lists it as uncharacterized. The record is from RefSeq and is a predicted model, not a curated record. The transcript is spliced from 5 exons. NCBI's taxonomy places the organism in Eukaryota, Metazoa, Chordata, Chondrichthyes, Myliobatiformes, Myliobatidae.
GAGAAUACAAUUACAGAGGCCCAGGUUCUGCAACUUCUCAAUUAGGAUAGUGGGAAUGAUGGUAUUAAAUGCGGAGCUGUAGUCGAUGAACAGCGGCCUGACAUAGGUGCUUGUGUUGUCCAGAUGGUCUAAAGCCGUGUGAAGAGCCAUGGAGAUUGCGUCUGCCGUUGACCUAUUGUGACGACAGGCAAAUUGCAGUGGGUCCAGGUCCUUGCUGAGGCGGGAGUUCAUUUCAGUCAUAACCAACCUCCCAAAGCAUUUCCUCACUGUCGAUUUAGACCUGCAGUGAGAGAUUUAUUGGUAGAAAAACCCCAACUGGAAGCAAACCACGACUGAAGACGAGGGAACAGCAACAAGUGAACCAGCCCGAGGAUUGAGAGCAUCAACUGGAGAGGACCCAUCUGACUCGGAGAUUCCAGUGACUCUGUCAGGAGAAAGUUUGAAUGCUGAAUGAAGUGACCAAGUAUCCCCGGCACUUAUUUUCAUUGAAAAGAUAUUGCCAUUCCGUCGUUGUGGUGGCUGGGUCGAAAUCCUGGAACGCCAACGCCAUCCCCAUCAGGAGUGCAGAGAUCCUUAACCAGAAGAAGUGCAGUUGUUCCGGAUGCAUUCACUGUCACUUCCUUUGUGGCAAUGAUGGAUGGUGCUGUAAAAUCUGGCAUUGGUAAUGAAGUGUGGAUUCUGAAAAGUCAAUAACUGAAAACAGCAUUAUAGACUGCUACAGCACAGUGCAGGUCGCUCGGGCUAACCACUCCCUCCUAAAUCACCCUCUACUUUUCUAAAAUCUAUGUGCCUAUCUAAAAAUCCCUUUCAUGUCCCCAAUGUAUCUGCCUUUACCACCACCCUGGCAGUCAGUGUGUUCCACGCACCACUCUCUGUGCUUAAAAACAAUCUUACACCUGAUGUCCCCCUGUACUUUUCUCCGGUCACCUUAAAAUGAUGCCCUCUCGUAUCAGCCAUUUCGGCACUGGGAGGAAAGGUCUCUGGCUGUCCUUCUUGCGAGCCUUCAAGUGUAACUGAAGAUGACUUCAGCUUGUGAUGAUGUGUUCCCCUUUUCAGCAUCAUACGUGAUUGUGCAGGAUGAUGGCAGUUCCAUUUAUGCAAGAUUGGGAUCUGCUGCAGACUUUGGGUGAUAAUGGUGAGCAUAUGUUAGACCUGCGGUGAGAGAUUUAUUGGUAGAAAAACCCCAACUGGAAGCAAACCACGACUGAAGACGAGGGAACAGCAACAAGUGAACCAGCCCGAGGAUUGAGAGCAUCAACUGGAGAGGACCCAUCUGACUCGGAGAAUCCAGUGACUCUGUCAGGAGAAAGUUUGGUUAAAAAUGACAAGGAAUUUGUUUCCGGGAAUCUCGAACACAACACACCAGUUUUGCUGUCUCUGUCCGGACAUUUAAUAAGUGGAGCAAGAGAUUCACUUGAUCAUCUGACCUGCUGGCAUGCCUGUCAUUUUACACAGGGGGGAGCCCAUUCAUUUGCUCAGACAGUAGGAAUGGAUCAGUCGGUCAUCUCCACUGAAGGUACAUCAGCAAAUUCACACUGGGACAAGGAUAUUCACCUGUUUUGUGUGUGAGAAGGGAUUCAGUCGGUCUUCCCACCUGUGGACACACCAGUCAGUUCACACUGGGCAGACGCUGGUUAUAUGCUGAAUUUGUGGGGAAGGAUUCACUCAGUCGUCUGACCUAAUGGCACACCAGCGAGUUCAAACUGGGGAGCGGCCGUUCACCUGCUCGAACUGUGGGAAGGGAUUCACUUGCUUAUCUAAACUGAAGGAACACCAGUCAGUUCACACUGGGGAGAGGACAUUCACCUGCUCAGACUGUGGGAAGAGAUUCUCUUUGUCAUCUCAGUUACUGAGACACCAGUGAGUUCACACCGGAGAGUGGCCAUUCACCUGCUGGACUGUGGGAAGAGAUUCACUGAAUCUUCUCACCUACUGAGACGCUGGUCAGUUCACACUGGGGAGAGGCCAUUCACCUGCCCAGACUGUGGGAAGGGAUUCACUGUAUCAUCUCAACUGAUGGUACAUCAGCGAGUUCACACAGGGGAGAGGCCAUUCACCUGCUCAGAGUGUGGGAAGGGGUUCACACCAGGGAGAAGCCGUUCACUUGCUCAGACUGUGGGAAGGGAUUCACUCGGUCAUCUCGCCUACUGACACACCUGUCAGUUCACAUUGGGGAGAGGCCAUUCACCUGCUCAGUGUGUGGGACGGGAUUCACUCGAUCAUCUCAUCUACAGAGACACCGGUCAGUUCACACUGGGUAGAGGCCGAUCACCUGCUGUGAAUGUGGGAAGCGAUUCACUCAGUAAUGUAAUCUUAUGUAACUCUCGCUUCAGCUAGCAGCAUAAUAUAGGGGGUGAUAGCCCCCCCAGCACGGCCAAACUUAUGAAAUCUCGUUUUGGUGGAUGCUGUGUGAUGUGUCCUGUGUUACAAAUCAGUCCCCCAAAAUAACAAACAGUACACAAUAUCUGAUUAAACGAAUGAGAUUUAAAAUUCUUACUUUGACUGUAGGGUUAGUAAAGAAAACAAAAAAAAAAGAAAAUGGGCCCACUCUCUCCAUUCACGUCUUCUCAUCUCUCCCCAGCAAAAGACCAUGAAAUCUCUCUUCCAGACUCACAAGGAAGAACAUUUCUGUCAUUGGAUAACCCCGCACUCCAAAACCCUGUUAUCUCUAGUUGUAACCUAAACAUUGCUGCUACAGAGAAACCAUUCCCUCAGCAGUGAAACAUCACAGAGAGGCCGUUACAUUAGCAGUGAAACCUUACAGCAUGUUACACUUGUGACCCACUACCGGGUUCACACUGGGAAGAAAGUUUCAAUAAGCUGCAUGCUGGAUAUUUGUCCAUCACCAUUGCAAUUUCGAGAGUGACUGUCGGUGCUGAACUCUGCAAUUAUUGCUGCUGCUCACCAUACCCAGUUCUGCACCCUGGUCACUGGGCAUGGGAGGAGUUUCUUCUGCUGCAUAUUCACCUUUAAUGGGACUGGAGUUUAAUAUUCUUGAUAAGAGACAAAUAAAUCAGUUCUAUUUUAAACUCUGUCUAUGGUACUUAGUGAAUUUAUAACACAACUAGUGUACAGUAGAGAGUCAACUCAGGCCGGCUGGACCCUGCCAGUGAUUCAGUUCCACAAAUCCUUUUAAAUCCUCCCCUGUUGUUCAUCUCUCGCUCUCCCUGUGGUGAUGGGUUCGAAACAGUCACCACUCUGUGGGUGAAGAGGUUUCCCUUGAACUUUCUGCAGACUAAAUAAGUCGAGGAGAAGGGAAUCAGCAGUGGGGUGCGGCAAAGAAUGACAGAGUAGCAACAUUUGGAGGCUGAUUGACAGAGUUAAACUGCUGCAGAAUCCUGAAAUGUGUUGGAUUGUGUCUGGUUUCUCUUGGCAUUUUCUGCACUUGCUGCCUUGUUUGUUUAUAUUUCAUGUGUUUUUGAUUUUCUUUUCCUUUUGUUAACCACCUUGUCCUGUAGUUCUGCAAGGACCCCUCUGUUUCUGGGAAGAGGUCUCCAACUCUCAGUCAGGUGCUCGAUGCUUCCUUGUCACCAUCUUGUCUGCUCAGAUCAUUGGGACGUCUCCCAUGGAGGGUCAUACUCAUUCCACUGGUUAAUGUUUUCUUCCAUAGUGAUGAUUCAUUUUUCUGAUUUGACCUCUCAUUUAUGUUUUCUGGUCUGUAUUUCUUACAUGAUUGCAUAUACACACAGGGAGUGCUGAAUCCUGUUCAUUUUUGAUGAAGAUAUAUACAAGGGGUGAUUGAUAUGUUCGCGGCCUCAGGUAAGAGUCAGUUUUAGAAAACCUAGCACAUUUAUUUUUCAACAUAGUCCCCUCCUACAUUUACACACUUAGUCCAGCAGUCGUGGAGCACACGGAUCUUGGACCUCCAGAAAGUGUCCACAGAUGGGCGAUUGAUAAGUUCAUGGCCUAAGUUAGAAGGAGAUGAGUUAUAAAGCUCUCAUUAUAUGCACAUGCAGGUCAGCUCUUUGAGUGAUUAUGCGGAAAGUUUGAAGUUAAUAACUCAUUUCCUUCUACCUUAGGCCACAAACCUAUCAGUUACCCCUGAUAAGUUCUUAACUUCAAACUUUCUGCAUAAUCACUCAGAGUUGAACUGCAUGUGCAUGUAACGAGGGCUGUAUAACUCAUCUCCUCCUACCUUAGGCCAUGAAUUUAUGAAUCACCCCUCGUACUUAGAAGUUUUAUCUGACUGUUGUGUGAUUUUGUUUUAAUGUGUGUUAUUUCACUUCCUUCUUCUGUCCAAGGUAGUGUUAAUCUAAGUGGGUUUCAGUGUAAAUAGUCCUUUCUAAAGUUUUCCAAAGUUCUUAUUUAUCUUUAUAAAUUUUACUGAUUGAAAUGGAACCAAGAUACUUUCAUUUUAAAAAUGCCAAUGUUGGUAUUGAUGAAAGUGUUUAUUGCCCUUGUUGUGUUUGUUAACUAUUGAGCUCUGUUUGGCAGGUUUUUUAAAGCCUUGAACGAAAUUUUGUCAAAGGUUUUCCCUACUUCACACUACUUUCUAUUUUCUUUGCUUGUUGAUAUUCCAGAUACAUUGGGAUCAAGAGUCCCGAUGAAGGGUCUUGGCCCAAAAUAUUGAUUCCCAUCCAUAGAUGCUGCCUGACAUGCUGAGAUCCUCCAGCAGUUUGUGUGUAGUUCUGUAGAUUUCUAGCAUCUGCAGGUCCUCUUGUUUCCCAGAUACUUAUAUGUUUCUUGAAAGAACAAGCCAGGAACAAGCUGAUAGUGGGAUUCUGUGGCUGUGUUUGUAAAAUAUUAAGUAAAGUCAUUAGAAAGAGGUGGCAUAGGGUUGGAAGGUGUAGAAUCUGUGGGUAGAAUUAAGGAACAGCAAAUGUAAAAAAAAUCCCUGAUGGGAAUUGUAUAGAGACCUCCAAACAGUAGUAAGUAUGUGGUCCACAAAUUACAAUGGGAGAUAGAAAAUGUGUGCCAAAAGGGCAAUGUUACAAUAGCCAUGGGGGAUUGUCAUGCAGGUGAUUAGGAAAAUUAGGACGGUGUUGGUCUCAAGACGAGGAAUUCCUGGAAUGCCUACAAGAUGCUUUUUUAGAGCAGCUCGUGGUUGAGCCCACUUGGGGAUCAACUAUUCUGGAUUGGGUGUUGUAAUAAUGCAGAAUGAAUUAGUUCACUUAAGUUCAAAGAACCCUUAGGGGCAAGUGAUCUUUAUAUGAUCAAAUUCACCCUGACAUUAGAGAAGGAGAAGCUAAAGUCAGAUGAGGAAUAAAGAGAAUUAGAGAGGCAUAAGAGAUAAACUGGUCAAAAUUGAUUUUCAAAGAACGCGGGCAGGGAUAAAAACAGAGCAGCAACGGCAGGAAUUUCUGGAAGCAAUUCAGAAGGCACAGGAUAUAUACAGUGCCAUGUAAAUGUUUGGGCACCCCUGGUUAAAUUUCUGUUACUGUGAAUAGCUAAGCGAGUAAAAGAUGACCUGAUUUCCAAAAGGCACAAAGUUAAAUAUAGCACAUUUCUUUAAUAUUUUAAGCAGGAUUACAUUUUUAUUUCCAUUGUUUACAGUUUCAAAAUAGCAAGAAAGGAAAAGGGCCCGAAGCAAAAGUUUGGGCUACCUGCAUGGUCAGUGCUUAGUAACACCCCCUUGACAAGUAUCACAGCUUGUAAACGCUUUCUGUAGCCAGCUAAGAGUCUUUCAGUUCUUGUUUGGGUAAAUUUCUGGGUUCAGUCAUUAGCAGCAAAGCACUGACUGUGGAAAUUACAGAUCAGAAUAUUAUUAGAGUCACAGAGCCCAGCAGCACUGAAACAGGCCCUUCGGCCCUUCUAGUCAAUGCUGACCUGUUUAUGUUUUUACUGCCUAGUUCCAACUAUGUGCACCAUAGCCUCCAUACACCUCCCAUCCAUCUCAUCACCCAAAUUUCUCUUUAGUGUCUAAAUCGAACCCACAUUCACCACUUUCACUGGCAGCUCAUUCCACACUCCCACCAACCUCUGAGUGUAGAAUUCCCCUUCAGACUCCCCUCAAAGAAUUCACUUUCACCCUGAACUUAUGUCCAAUGUGGGGGUGAGAGGGAGGAUGGGGUGGAGAGGGAAGACAGUAAGGGGACAGUAAUGUUGCCUCCUUACAACAAAACUAACCCUCUCACUGUGUCAGAAUCCAGCCCCAAACACUGUGCUUUCAUCCCUGCACAUUGUAACUUGAGCCAUCUCACUGAGGGUCUGAUGGAGACACAACCACUGCCCUCUGCACAUGUGAUCACAUCUCCCCUGCUUCUGCCAUUUCAAAUACCCUCAGAAUGGUUUUCUGAUUCAGUCUGAAGGUUAUGGUACAUUCAGCUCAUCGUCAGACCUGACAAACCAUGUCUUCCCACAGCUGGUUCCACCUGUUGGUGUGCCCUCUUUCCUCCACCUCCAGGGAAGCUGCAUCUCCACACAAACUCCUCACUUGAGACGACUGUCUGUACCCGUGACACAGGAAAUCACAUCACUGUCACUCUCCUGAUACCAUCCGGGAAGCGGUACCGCAACAUAAAAGCCAGGACCAACAGGCUCCGGGACAGCUUCUUCCACCAGGCCGUCAGACUGAUGAACUCACGCUGAUUUGAGUGUACUCUAUAUUACAUUGUCUGUUUUAUUUAUUAUAAACUGUUAUAAAUUACUAUGAUUGCACGCUGCACAUUUAGAAGGAGACGUAAGGUAAAGAUUUUUACUCCUGAUCGAUGUAAGAAAUAAAGUCAAUUCAAUUCA